GAAUCACCUAUUUUGCAGUCAUCAUCC
Molecule: small RNA, 27 nt
Filed under: Bombyx mori (domestic silkworm)
Lineage: Eukaryota; Metazoa; Arthropoda; Insecta; Lepidoptera; Bombycidae
Description: ovarian small RNA-15293
Source: RNAcentral